Molecule: long non-coding RNA, 329 nt
Organism: Cyclopterus lumpus (lumpfish)
Lineage: Eukaryota; Metazoa; Chordata; Actinopteri; Perciformes; Cyclopteridae
Exons: 3
Source: RefSeq, a predicted model, not a curated record
UGAAUCACUAGUUUCUCAUUCUGUUGGCCUGUUGUUAGCAGCUACACAUGUUGCGAGCUGUUUAGCUUCAGCUUGAGAUCCCAAAAUGUAUUUUGGAUUUUGUGUGAGAGUGCUUGUGCUCUCACUGUUGACUUUUGGCCAGCAUGUAAAUGCACUCGGUGACAGUGCAAAAGGUGUCAUCCAGACCAAAGCUGGCAUGUGGGAUUUUGUCUCUCCCGAGAAUGGAAAAAGAUUUGAAUCUGUUAUUGCUUCAAGUAGUGGAAUUGUUAUGCAAGCUGGUCCUCAGCCCCCUUUUGAGCACCCGCCAUCCGUCUACCAGCCCAAGCCCG